CCGUUUAAAGUAUUAGGAGGCUCGCCUGCCCAGUGUACAUUUGUUAUACGGCCGCCGUACCCUAACCGUGCAAAGGUAGCAUAAUCACUUGUUUUUUAAAUAAAGGACCUGUAUGAAUGCCUCCACGAGGGUUCCUCUGUCUCUUACUUUAAAACAUUGAACUUGCCCUGUCCAACAAAAGGUGGGCAUUUAACAUAAAAACAAAAAAACCCCUAUGGAA
Molecule: ribosomal RNA, 220 nt
Filed under: Riopa punctata (Common dotted garden skink)
Lineage: Eukaryota; Metazoa; Chordata; Lepidosauria; Squamata; Scincidae
Description: Lygosoma punctata (Common dotted garden skink) partial 16S ribosomal RNA
Source: RNAcentral